UCGAUGGGUAAGUAUCCUAACGGGCUUUUUAGGCUGUCGACCAAAAUUAUUUAACUUAGAGGAGUACAGUUAAUGGCCCGUAUCGCUGGCAUUAACAUUCCUGA
RNAcentral lists this small RNA (104 nucleotides) under uncultured Glaciecola sp. Its description in RNAcentral is "Alpha operon ribosome binding site". It matches the Rfam family "Alpha operon ribosome binding site". Rfam says of the family: The bacterial alpha operon ribosome binding site is surrounded by this complex pseudoknotted structure. Translation of the mRNA produces 4 ribosomal protein products, one of which (S4) acts as a translational repressor by binding to the nested pseudoknot region. Lineage: Bacteria; Pseudomonadati; Pseudomonadota; Gammaproteobacteria; Alteromonadales; Alteromonadaceae. The record is from RNAcentral.